This 247-nucleotide long non-coding RNA is filed under the name Monodelphis domestica (gray short-tailed opossum). Its description in RNAcentral is "lncRNA (ENSMODG00000043510.1)". The record is from RNAcentral. Lineage: Eukaryota; Metazoa; Chordata; Mammalia; Didelphimorphia; Didelphidae.
GCAGGGUCCGAGCUGGUUUGUCUGCCCUGCUCCUGUAUCACAACCCCACAAAAGAAAAACAGAAUCCAGAUUUUGUGAGAUAAGCGAUCUCUCCCUACCAAUCCACUAUUGUACUAAUCACUGGGGAUACAGCGAGGUGCCUGGGAUAAUCCCUCAAGGAGUUUCUAAUCUAAUGGAAGAGACAGUAUACAAACAGACCUAUGCAAGGCAAGAUAUAUACAAGAUACAUGAACUAAUUAAAGGAGGG